This 406-nucleotide ribosomal RNA is filed under the name uncultured bacterium. RNAcentral's name for it is "partial 16S ribosomal RNA". It matches the Rfam family "Bacterial small subunit ribosomal RNA", at positions 30 to 526 of the family's 1533-position model. The record is from RNAcentral.
AUUGAACGCUGGCGGCAGGCCUAACACAUGCAAGUCGAACGAGUGGCGGACGGGUGAGUAAUGUCUGGGAAACUGCCUGAUGGAGGGGGAUAACUACUGGAAACGGUAGCUAAUCCCGCAUACCAUCGGAUGUGCCCCGAUGGGUUUCGCUAGUAGGUGGGGUAAAGGCUCACCUAGGCGACGAUCCCUAGCUGGUCUGAGAGGAGGACCAGACACACUGGAAAUGAGACACGGUCCAGACUCCUACGGGAGGCAGCAGUGGGGAAUAUUGCACAAUGGGCGAAAGGCUGAUGCAGCCAUGCCGCGUGUAUGAAGAAGGCCUUAGGGUUGUAAAGUACUUUCAGCGGGGAGGCGUUACCCGCAGAAGAAGCACCGGCUAACUCCGUGCCAGCCGCCGCGGUAAUUC